Molecule: ribosomal RNA, 253 nt
Filed under: uncultured bacterium
Lineage: Bacteria
Description: partial 16S ribosomal RNA
Rfam family: Bacterial small subunit ribosomal RNA
Source: RNAcentral
UACGUAGGAGGCAAGCGUUGUCCGGAAUCACUGGGCGUAAAGCGCGUGUAGGUGGAGCGGGAAGUCUGCUGUGAAAGCGCCUGGCUUAACCGGGCGAGGUCGGUGGAAACUCCCGCACUAGAGGCCGGUAGAGGGGGGUGGAAUUCCGGGUGUAGAGGUGAAAUGCGUAGAGAUCCGGAGGAACACCCGUGACGAAGGCGGCCCCCUGGGCCGCGCCUGACGCUGAGACGCGAAAGCGCGGGGAGCGAACGGG